RNAcentral lists this long non-coding RNA (690 nucleotides) under Cyanistes caeruleus (blue tit). RNAcentral describes it as "lncRNA (ENSCCEG00000024493.1)". The record is from RNAcentral. Lineage: Eukaryota; Metazoa; Chordata; Aves; Passeriformes; Paridae.
CUUUCCUGUGUUUCAGGUUCUUGGGGUCUGAAGCAAGAAGUUGCUCUGAGCAAGUGAUGAUGACUCCCUGGCUGCACUGUGAGCUCCUGCCAGCCAAUGAAAAGGUUUCUUGGCUUACCCGUUAUUUUCUGCUCCUGUUCUUUGGCAACAUGCUGCAGACACACAAAAAGGUGACUAUUCAUGGCCUGGCAGGUGGAAGAUUAAUUCUGACAGAGGAAGAAUUUCUUGAUGAAGUGACUUCAAAGGCAAAAUAUUGUGGAGGGGGAAGCAGGCAACACUUGUGUGAAAGAAGAAGAGGGAGGCUGUGCCAGUUGGCAUCAAGCACUAGAAGGAUAACCUUCGUCCUCAGGGCUGACACCAGCAGCUCAGGUUAGUGCAUUGGCAGUUUUGCCUGUGCUGCCGUUUCGGCUCCCCCCAGCCCCUGGCUGAUUCACAUCCAGGGACAGAGAGGGCACCUGGCCCAUGUCCAGUGCCUGCACCAGGCAGAGCAAAGAAAUCUUUGAAAGAAAUGAUGGAGGUAUGUGAAAAAUCCCCUCUGGGAAAACUGAGCUCAUUAUCCUUCCUUCCUUCCUUCCUGCUCAGCCUGUUGUAGCUGAGCUGACAGAAUCCCCAGUGGUCUUGAGGCCUUUGUGUAAAGUUUCUCUCACCUCGCCACAGUCUGUAGUAGGCCAUGAAUUUUCUGAUUUUUAC